CGAAAGCCUGACGGAGCAGCGCCGCGUGCGGGAGGAAGGCCUUAGGGUUGUAAACCGCUUUUCUCAGGGAAGAAGGACUGACGGUACCUGAGGAAUAAGCCUCGGCUAACUCCGUGCCAGCAGCCGCGGUAAGACGGAGGAGGCAAGCGUUAUCCGGAAUUAUUGGGCGUAAAGCGUCCGCAGGUGGCGAUUCAAGUCUGCUGUCAAAGCACGGGGCUUAACUCCGUUAAGGCAGUGGAAACUGAAUGGCUAGAGUGCCGUAGGGGUAGAGGGAAUUCCCGGUGUAGCGGUGAAAUGCGUAGAGAUCGGGAAGAACAUCGGUGGCGAAAGCGCUCUACUGGACGGCAACUGACACUCAGGGACGAAAGCUAGGGGAGCG
RNAcentral lists this ribosomal RNA (379 nucleotides) under uncultured cyanobacterium. RNAcentral's name for it is "bacterial SSU rRNA". It matches the Rfam family "Bacterial small subunit ribosomal RNA", at positions 376 to 770 of the family's 1533-position model. The record is from RNAcentral. Lineage: Bacteria; Bacillati; Cyanobacteriota.